CGACCUCGGAUCAGGCGUGAUUACCCGCUGAACUUAAGCAUAUCACUAAGCGGAGGAAAAGAAA
RNAcentral lists this ribosomal RNA (64 nucleotides) under Phyllodistomum angulatum. Its description in RNAcentral is "partial 28S ribosomal RNA". It matches the Rfam family "Eukaryotic large subunit ribosomal RNA", at positions 1 to 64 of the family's 3401-position model. The record is from RNAcentral. Lineage: Eukaryota; Metazoa; Platyhelminthes; Trematoda; Plagiorchiida; Gorgoderidae.